GGAAAAAUCGCCUAAUGGUAUGGCAAUAGUUUGCUAAACUGCGGAUGUAUAACAUCCUUGGGGGUUCGAAUCCCCUUUUUUCCG
Molecule: transfer RNA, 84 nt
Filed under: Coemansia sp. RSA 552
Lineage: Eukaryota; Fungi; Kickxellomycota; Kickxellomycetes; Kickxellales; Kickxellaceae
Description: tRNA-Ser
Rfam family: tRNA
About the family: Transfer RNA (tRNA) molecules are approximately 80 nucleotides in length. Their secondary structure includes four short double-helical elements and three loops (D, anti-codon, and T loops). Further hydrogen bonds mediate the characteristic L-shaped molecular structure. tRNAs have two regions of fundamental functional importance: the anti-codon, which is responsible for specific mRNA codon recognition, and the 3' end, to which the tRNAs corresponding amino acid is attached (by aminoacyl-tRNA synthetases). tRNAs cope with the degeneracy of the genetic code in two manners: having more than one tRNA (with a specific anti-codon) for a particular amino acid; and 'wobble' base-pairing, i.e. permitting non-standard base-pairing at the 3rd anti-codon position.
Source: RNAcentral